RNAcentral lists this ribosomal RNA (844 nucleotides) under uncultured bacterium. RNAcentral describes it as "bacterial SSU rRNA". It matches the Rfam family "Bacterial small subunit ribosomal RNA", at positions 26 to 870 of the family's 1533-position model. The record is from RNAcentral.
AGAGCGAACGUUAGCGGCGGGCUUAACACAUGCAAGUCGGACGCGAAAGGGCUUCGGCCCCGGUAGCGUGGCGUCCGGGUGAGUAACACGUAGGAAACCUUCCCUCGAGCGGGGGAUAACGUCCCGAAAGGGACGCUAAUACCGCAUAAGCUCCCAGCGACUCCGGUCGCAGAGAGAAAAGAUGGCCUCUGUAUACAAGCUAUCACUUGAGGAUGGUCCUGCGGCGCAUCAGCUAGUUGGUGGGGUAACGGCCCACCAAGGCAUAGACGCGUAGCUGGUCUGAGAGGAUGAUCAGCCACACUGGCACUGAGACACUGCCCAGACUCCUACGGGAGGCAGCAGUGAGGGAUAUUGCACAAUGGGCGCAAGCCUGAUGCAGCGACGCCGCGUGGGUGAAGAAGGUUUUCGGAUCGUAAAACCCUUUUCUGUGUGACGAGCAAGGACGGUAGCACAGGAAUAAGUCUCGGCUAACUACGUGCCAGCAGCCGCGGUAAAACGUAGGAGACAAACGUUAUCCGGAGUUACUGGGCGUAAAGGGCGUGCAGGCGGCAGUCUAAGUCUGGCGUGAAAUUUCCCGGCUUAACCGGGGGAGGUCGUCGGAUACUGGGCAGCUCGAGGGCGGUAGAGGCGUGUGGAAUUCCGGGUGUAGUGGUGAAAUGCGUAGAGAUCCGGAGGAACACCAGUGGCGAAGGCGACACGCUGGGCCGCACCUGACGCUAAGACGCGACAGCAUGGGGAGCAAACAGGAUUAGAAACCCUGGUAGUCCAUGCCGUAAACGAUGCCAGCUGGGUGUUUGGGCGGCGAAAGUCGUCUGGGUACCGAAGUUAACACGGUAAGCUGGCC